GUUUCUGUAGUGUAGUGGUUAUCACGUUCUCUUUAACGCGAAAGGUCCCUGGUUCGAAACCGGGCAGAUGCA
RNAcentral lists this transfer RNA (72 nucleotides) under Merluccius polli (Benguela hake). It matches the Rfam family "tRNA". Rfam says of the family: Transfer RNA (tRNA) molecules are approximately 80 nucleotides in length. Their secondary structure includes four short double-helical elements and three loops (D, anti-codon, and T loops). Further hydrogen bonds mediate the characteristic L-shaped molecular structure. tRNAs have two regions of fundamental functional importance: the anti-codon, which is responsible for specific mRNA codon recognition, and the 3' end, to which the tRNAs corresponding amino acid is attached (by aminoacyl-tRNA synthetases). tRNAs cope with the degeneracy of the genetic code in two manners: having more than one tRNA (with a specific anti-codon) for a particular amino acid; and 'wobble' base-pairing, i.e. permitting non-standard base-pairing at the 3rd anti-codon position. Lineage: Eukaryota; Metazoa; Chordata; Actinopteri; Gadiformes; Merlucciidae. The record is from Rfam by way of RNAcentral.